Molecule: ribosomal RNA, 253 nt
Filed under: uncultured bacterium
Lineage: Bacteria
Description: partial 16S ribosomal RNA
Rfam family: Bacterial small subunit ribosomal RNA
Source: RNAcentral
UACGAAGGGGGCUAGCGUUACUCGGAUUGACUGGGCGUAAAGGGCGCGUAGGCGGUUUGUACAGUCAGACGUGAAAUUCCUGGGCUCAACCUGGGGGCUGCGUUUGAUACGUGCAGACUUGAGUUCGGAAGAGGGUCGUGGAAUUCCCAGUGUAGAGGUGAAAUUCGUAGAUAUUGGGAAGAACACCAGUGGCGAAGGCGGCUCACUGGCCCGUAACUGACGCUCAUGCACGACAGCGUGGGGAUCAAACAGG